UACGAAGGAGGCUAGCGUUGCUCGGAAUCACUGGGCGUAAAGGGUGCGUAGGCGGGUCUUUAAGUCAUGGGUGAAAUCCUGGAGCUCAACUCCAGAACUGCCUUUGAUACUGAAGAUCUUGAGUUCGGGAGAGGUGAGUGGAACUGCGAGUGUAGAGGUGAAAUUCGUAGAUAUUCGCAAGAACACCAGUGGCGAAGGCGGCUCUCUGGUACGUGACUGACGCUGAGACGCGAAAGCGUGGGGAGCGAACAGG
RNAcentral lists this ribosomal RNA (253 nucleotides) under uncultured bacterium. RNAcentral describes it as "partial 16S ribosomal RNA". It matches the Rfam family "Bacterial small subunit ribosomal RNA", at positions 524 to 776 of the family's 1533-position model. The record is from RNAcentral.